Anopheles coluzzii is the source of this 574-nucleotide long non-coding RNA. RefSeq lists it as uncharacterized. The record is from RefSeq and is a predicted model, not a curated record. Lineage: Eukaryota; Metazoa; Arthropoda; Insecta; Diptera; Culicidae. The transcript is spliced from 2 exons.
GCCUCAUGAAUCCGUUGUUUAUAGAAGGUAACUACUAUAACCUUAUUUAAACUAUUCUUCACUUCCUCAAAGUGAACUUCCGUCGACAGCUUUUCCUCGAAUUUACGAAAUUCUUCUUCUGAUGAUAUUUUUGUUCCAGAUCCUGAAUCUGCGUUUGCAGCCGCUGCGCUUGAGGUCGGAGAUGAUGGGACGACGAUAUUAUCUAUAAAAUAAUCCAGUUGGCAUUUUACUGUUCCAAUUGCAUUUGUCAGCUUCCAAAUUUUUUUUGUCGUGCUCCUGCAUUCCUAAUUGUAUUUCAUUCAUCAUUCUUAACACCUUGUCAAUUUUUCCAUUGAGUGAAGCCAGUGUUAUCUCUGGAUUUUCGCUAACCUGGUUUUCCAUCGCUGAUAUGGCUAUGGUUUAAAAAUUAGUUGUUUUAAAAUUCAUUCGGCCACAAAGUCAUUCUAUCAUUUUAUUUACCUUUUUUUCACUUUUUUCUAGCUCCAAGCUCCAAGGCGUGCGAGAAUAAUUUUUUGCUCCAAUCAGUCCAAAAAACGAAGACCAAAUAAAAUUUUCCAUCGUCUUGAAACCCAUA